GUAAUUAGUGGCAUGGCGGAACGCAGUUUGCGAACCGUUGCCAUUGCAACCAGAGAAAUUAAAUCGACAGAUAUUCCUGAGGGAGAGAAUUCAAGACAAUGGGCUUUACUUGAAAAUGAGCUGGCUACUGUUGCUUGUUGUUGUGGGUAUAAAGAAUCGUUGUCGCCCUGAGGUCAAAGAUGCAGUGCAAUCAUGAAUAAAGGCGGGUGUUAAGGUACACAUGGUCACUGGAGACCAUUUUUUGACUGCAAAAGCAAUCGCGUUAGAGUGUGGAAUUAUUUCUGAUAAAGAUACUACUGAGCCUAAUAUCAUUGAAGGAAAAACAUUCCAUGAAUUAUCUGAAAAAGAAAGAGAAGAAUGUGCAAAUAAUAUAAAGGUAAUGUGGAGAUCUUACCCGAAUGACAAGUUAUUGCUUGUGCAAGCAUUACGGAAGGGGGCAUAUGUUGUUGCAGUAACAGGAGAUGACACUAAUGAUGCUCCUGCCCUUCAUGAGGUAUAU
This is a long non-coding RNA of Rosa chinensis, 499 nucleotides long. RefSeq lists it as uncharacterized. The record is from RefSeq and is a predicted model, not a curated record. NCBI's taxonomy places the organism in Eukaryota, Viridiplantae, Streptophyta, Magnoliopsida, Rosales, Rosaceae. The transcript is spliced from 4 exons.